Long non-coding RNA from Acipenser ruthenus (sterlet), 1147 nucleotides. RefSeq lists it as uncharacterized. The transcript is spliced from 4 exons. NCBI's taxonomy places the organism in Eukaryota, Metazoa, Chordata, Actinopteri, Acipenseriformes, Acipenseridae. The record is from RefSeq and is a predicted model, not a curated record.
UGUCUUAAGCCGCUACAUCCUAUGAGAGCAUUCAGUUAAAUUAACGGGAAAGAACAACACAACGCGAAACGGACACAUUGGAAGCUACCUAGUUCCCAGGCAAGUGCGAGAACGAAAUGCAAGUUAAUUAAAGUAGCAUCUGGGGGAAGUGAUGUCAUUGCUUGCUCUUGUGUUCGAAUAAUGAAGAGGGUGAAACAGAAUCAGCAAGUCAAUCAGGACAUCAAGGUUGUUGGAUCUCAGACUGACCACUGGCUCUCCCCAGGAACGCACAGGAACAACACAGACAGGCACAGUGGGUUCAGGACCAUGAACUGCAACACAGCAACAUCACAGGAAUGAGAACAAAUACAUCUGAACACAGAGCACUUUAACACUUACAGAUACAACCUGACGGACGACAACUGUGUAGAGACGUCGUGGUGAGCGUUAUGCUGACUGUUGCAUUGUUCAAGCCAACCAGUGGGGCGGUGGAAGUGUGAUGUGGGGAGGAAUCUCCUUUAACACAAGAAUGCCUUUGGUGCAGAUUGAGGGCAACUUUACUGCUCAGCAAUACAUUGACAAAGUCCUUGAGGCAACAGUUUUUCCGUUCCUGCAAGCCAAUCUGGAAGUGUCGAUUAUCCAGCAGGACAAUGCAAGACACACAGUGCUAGGAUUACAACUGCACAGCAGUCUAUCCAGAGGUUGAUCAGGUCUAUGCAUCAGCGCUGCCAGGAUUGCGUUAAUGCUCAGGGAGGUCAUACCCGAUACUAACUUUGUAAUGUUUUCAUUUUGACAGUGUGUCACGUUUCAUACUGAAAACAUGUUAUGAUUUGAUCUGUAUUUUUGCUCACAUUUUCUGUGAUUUUGUUUGAUAUCUAUGUUUAAAAUAUUUGAUUAAAUCCAUUAGACCUGAGUGUUGAUUUUCUUUAAUUGUCACAGUAAUGCAUGGAACAAACAUGAAUUUAAUUAACCUGUUAGUUCUGUUUUUCCUCAUAAAUGAAUUUAAAUCCCACAACUUGUCCUAUGUGGGUGUAAAUUAGUUAUGCUUGAGUUGCUUGAAUGACCUAAUUUCCUAGUUUAUGUCAGUAUACAAAUAAAAGUGUACUAAUUACAUUGUCUAUAGUGCUUGUUUAGUCAGCAUCUGUGACAGUCAAAUCCAAUUGCAAUG